This is a transfer RNA of 85 nucleotides. It matches the Rfam family "tRNA". From Rfam's summary of the family: Transfer RNA (tRNA) molecules are approximately 80 nucleotides in length. Their secondary structure includes four short double-helical elements and three loops (D, anti-codon, and T loops). Further hydrogen bonds mediate the characteristic L-shaped molecular structure. tRNAs have two regions of fundamental functional importance: the anti-codon, which is responsible for specific mRNA codon recognition, and the 3' end, to which the tRNAs corresponding amino acid is attached (by aminoacyl-tRNA synthetases). tRNAs cope with the degeneracy of the genetic code in two manners: having more than one tRNA (with a specific anti-codon) for a particular amino acid; and 'wobble' base-pairing, i.e. permitting non-standard base-pairing at the 3rd anti-codon position.
GCCGAGGUCGCAUAACCAGGUAGUGCACCAGCCUUGAGAGCUGGCGCCCCUCGUGGGCAUGUGGGUUCAAAUCCCACCCUCGGCG